This 432-nucleotide long non-coding RNA is filed under the name Linum usitatissimum (flax). RNAcentral describes it as "long non-coding RNA (LUSI_LNC001554)". Lineage: Eukaryota; Viridiplantae; Streptophyta; Magnoliopsida; Malpighiales; Linaceae. The record is from RNAcentral.
GUUUCUGAAUCGAACUGUUCUUGUUCGCAUCACGGGCAUCACCAGAGCCACCACAAUCAUUACUCGCCGUCGUCUCCGCUGUCGUUCUACACGUCUUUCUCGUCGUCUUCUUCGUCGGAGGAUUCGUCGUCGACGCCGUGCGUUUCUUCGUCGGAGGUUUACAGAGAGGCGGCGGGAGAUGAGAUUGAGAUCGACGGUGAUGACGAGAUUAGUACUCCUUGCCCUGCGACACCGUUUGUGUAAUGUGGAUUAAAAAGGUGUUUUCCUUGUUGUAUAAAUUGAAAAUUCUCUAGUGUUAGCUCCUUUUUAGAUCAAGGUUUAUCGCUAAUGACGAGUUUGACCAUAGACAUAAAUUUCCAAGUUAAAACAUUACGAGUCAACCUAAAUCCAUUUCAUAUUUCUAUCUAUUCGACAUUUGAGUAACAAUUUCAC